UACGAAGGGUGCAAACGUUGCUCGGAAUUAUUGGGCGUAAAGCGCACGUAGGCGGCUUUUCAAGUCCCAUGUGAAAGCCCACGGCUUAACCGUGGAAGUGCAUGGGAAACUGGAGAGCUUGAGUACUUAAGAGGAUCGCGGAAUUCCCGGUGUAGAGGUGAAAUUCGUAGAUAUCGGGAGGAACACCAGUGGCGAAGGCGGCCCCCUGGGCCGCGCCUGACGCUGAGACGCGAAGGCUAGGGGAGCGAACGGGAUUGAGAA
This 261-nucleotide ribosomal RNA is filed under the name uncultured bacterium. RNAcentral describes it as "partial 16S ribosomal RNA". It matches the Rfam family "Bacterial small subunit ribosomal RNA", at positions 524 to 784 of the family's 1533-position model. The record is from RNAcentral.